Molecule: ribosomal RNA, 638 nt
Filed under: uncultured Actinomycetes bacterium
Lineage: Bacteria; Bacillati; Actinomycetota; Actinomycetes
Description: bacterial SSU rRNA
Rfam family: Bacterial small subunit ribosomal RNA
Source: RNAcentral
CGCCUGGGGAGUACGGGUGAGGUAACGGCUCACCAAGGCGACGACGGGUAACCGGCCUGAGAGGGUGACCGGUCACACUGGGACUGAGACACGGCCCAGACUCCUACGGGAGGCAGCAGUGGGGAAUAUUGCACAAUGGGCGCAAGCCUGAUGCAGCAACGCCGCGUGAGGGAUGACGGCCUUCGGGUUGUAAACCUCUUUUAGCAGGGAAGAAGCGAAAGUGACGGUACCUGCAGAAAAAGCACCGGCUAACUACGUGCCAGCAGCCGCGGUAAUACGUAGGGUGCAAGCGUUGUCCGGAAUUAUUGGGCGUAAAGAGCUCGUAGGCGGUUUGUCACGUCUGCUGUGAAAAUCCAAGGCUCAACCUUGGACUUGCAGUGGGUACGGGCAGGCUAGAGUGCGGUAGGGGAGAUGGGAAUUCCUGGUGUAGCGGUGGAAUGCGCAGAUAUCAGGAGGAACACCAAUGGCGAAGGCAGUCUUCUGGGCCGGUACUGACGCUGAGGAGCGAAAGCAUGGGGAGCAAACAGGAUUAGAUACCCUGGUAGUCCAUGCCGUAAACGUUGGGCACUAGGUGUGGGGUCUUCUAACGGAUUCCGUGCCGUAGCUAACGCAUUAAGUGCCCCGCCUGGGGAGUACGG